CAGCCAUAAGUAGCAACCGUUCGGCCAAGAGUUUCCUAUCAAGGAAACAAUCAAAGAAGAAGGAUACGAAAGCUUCUUUGAGCUCCUCCUCCAAUGUUGCCCCCAUUGACACGGUAUGCAUCUAUUUGGAAUUUGUAUUUAGGCUACGGCUUCAUGCAAAGCAGGGUAAUAACUAUCUUCUGCCUAUACAUAACAUGGCCGGAUGAUCGCCCAUUUUCCCUCUAACUCCCACGUGGAACCUAGCCUGUCACGCAAAGAAAUGCCGUACAAGAAAUGUGUGCCAUUUCGCGAGGUGAAAGAUGUAGAACGAUGGCUCAUCUACUUUUGUAUACACUAUAUAACCGUUCAUAGGCUACUAAAGAAAGUCAUAGUUCACACACAGUUAAACACAAUGGCUCAUCUACUUUUGUAUACACUAUAUAACCGUUCAUAGGCUACUAAAGAAAGUCAUAGUUCACACACAGUUAAACACAAUACAAUGGACGGAGCUUACCGUUCUGAGAGAGCAUCCUCUGUGCGAAAGCAAGUUAAGAAGAAAGGCAAGCACCCAACGCUAAGUUCCUUAGAAGAUCAGCCCCAUUCCAACGGUGGCAAAGCAAGCAAUUCGCAGAAAAACCUCAUAGUAUAUAUUUCAAGACGUCCAAUUGUCAAAACCUCAUAGAAAUACAAAGCUAUAGUCACUGGUAUCUUCACAGGGGCAUGGUGCAAGCAUCCGUAUUGAUAGGCCUCCCAUGUGAAAAAGACAGUCGCGGAGAAUUUUCAAUCACGUUCAAAGGAGAGCCAGCUAACACAGAGGAUGAAGCCAAAGAGAAAGCUGCCCAAGUGGCUUUGGAAUGUAUUUGUGCAAAUUACAAUAUUUCUAUCAGUGACCAUAACUAUUAUGCCCUCGAAGUCACAAAGGAAAGACUAUUUACGUCAAAAGAAAUGCACAAACAAAGGAAUUACAAUUUAACAUCGCCUGUCAGCAGGUAGCUACACA
Molecule: non-coding RNA, 979 nt
Organism: Aegilops tauschii subsp. strangulata
Lineage: Eukaryota; Viridiplantae; Streptophyta; Magnoliopsida; Poales; Poaceae
Source: RefSeq, a predicted model, not a curated record